UGGGGAAUCUUGCGCAAAUGCGGGAAACCGUGACGCAGCGACGCCGCGUGGGGGAAGAAGGCCUUCGGGUUGUAAACCUCUUUCAGGAGGGACGAAGCUACUCGGGUUAACAGCCCAGAGGGUGACGGUACCUUCAGAAGAAGCCCCGGCUAACUACGUGCCAGCAGCCGCGGUAAUACGUAGGGGGCAAGCGUUGUCCGGAUUUAUUGGGCGUAAAGAGCGUGUAGGCGGCUUGACAAGUCUGCUGUGAAAACUCGAGGCUCAACCUCGAGCUGUCGGCGGAAACUGUCAGGCUAGAGUCCGGAAGAGGAGAGUGGAAUUCCUGGUGUAGCGGUGAAAUGCGCAGAUAUCAGGAAGAACACCUAUGGCGAAGGCAGCUCUCUGGGACGGUACUGACGCUGAGACGCGAAAGCGUGGGGAGCGAACA
This 427-nucleotide ribosomal RNA is filed under the name uncultured bacterium. RNAcentral's name for it is "bacterial SSU rRNA". It matches the Rfam family "Bacterial small subunit ribosomal RNA", at positions 355 to 774 of the family's 1533-position model. The record is from RNAcentral.